This 336-nucleotide ribosomal RNA is filed under the name Makalata didelphoides (Red-nosed armored tree-rat). RNAcentral describes it as "partial 12S ribosomal RNA". It matches the Rfam family "Bacterial small subunit ribosomal RNA", at positions 537 to 989 of the family's 1533-position model. Lineage: Eukaryota; Metazoa; Chordata; Mammalia; Rodentia; Echimyidae. The record is from RNAcentral.
AACCCUAGUUAAUAAAUUCCGGCGUAAAGCGUGUUAAAAAUAUGAUUAAAAUAAGAUUAAAAUUUGUCUAAGUUGUAAAAAACAAUAGAUAAAAAUAAGCUCAAUAACGAAAGUAAUCUUAAUAACUCUGUAUACACCAAAGCCAAGGCUCAAACUGGGAUUAGAUACCCCACUAUGCUUAGCCGUAAACAAAGAUAUUUCCUAACAAAAAUUUUCGCCUGAGAACUACUAGCAAUAGCUUAAAACUCAAAGGACUUGGCGGUGCUUUAAACCCACCUAGAGGAGCCUGUUCUAUAAUCGAUAAACCCCGAUAAACCUUACCACUUCUAGCUAAAC